This 253-nucleotide unclassified non-coding RNA is filed under the name uncultured Alphaproteobacteria bacterium. RNAcentral's name for it is "contains 16S-23S intergenic spacer region". It matches the Rfam family "Bacterial small subunit ribosomal RNA", at positions 524 to 776 of the family's 1533-position model. The record is from RNAcentral. Lineage: Bacteria; Pseudomonadati; Pseudomonadota; Alphaproteobacteria.
UACGAAGGGGGCUAGCGUUGUUCGGAAUUACUGGGCGUAAAGCGCGCGUAGGCGGAUCGUUAAGUCAGGGGUGAAAUCCUGGGGCUCAACCCCAGAACUGCCCUUGAUACUGGCGGUCUUGAGUUCGAGAGAGGUGAGUGGAAUUCCGAGUGUAGAGGUGAAAUUCGUAGAUAUUCGGAGGAACACCAGUGGCGAAGGCGGCUCACUGGCUCGAUACUGACGCUGAGGUGCGAAAGCGUGGGGAGCAAACAGG